Molecule: ribosomal RNA, 487 nt
Filed under: uncultured bacterium
Lineage: Bacteria
Description: bacterial SSU rRNA
Rfam family: Bacterial small subunit ribosomal RNA
Source: RNAcentral
GAUGAACGCUAGCGACAGGCUUAACACAUGCAAGUCGAGGGGCAGCGAGGGCGUAGCAAUACGCCUGUCGGCGACCGGCGCACUGGUGAGUAACACGUAUGCGACCUGCCCCCUACAGGGGUAUAACCCGUAGAAAUGCGGACUAAUCCCCCAUAGUCCUGGAGGCUGCAUGGCCUCCGGGGGAAAGGGUUUCCGGUAGGGGAUGGGCAUGCGGCGCAUUAGCUAGUUGGCGGGGUAACGGCCCACCAAGACGACGAUGGGUAGGGGUUCUGAGAGGAAGGUCCCCCACAUUGGAACUGAGACACGGUCCAAACUCCUACGGGAGGCAGCAGUGAGGAAUAUUGGUCAAUGGGCGGAAGCCUGAACCAGCCAAGUAGCGUGAGGGAUGACUGCCCUAUGGGUUGUAAACCUCUUUUAUAAGGGAAUAAAAUACGGGACGUGUCCUGUUUUGCAUGUACCUUAUGAAUAAGGACCGGCUAAUUCCGUG